Molecule: ribosomal RNA, 2771 nt
Filed under: Klebsiella pneumoniae subsp. pneumoniae
Lineage: Bacteria; Pseudomonadati; Pseudomonadota; Gammaproteobacteria; Enterobacterales; Enterobacteriaceae
Description: bacterial LSU rRNA
Rfam family: Bacterial large subunit ribosomal RNA
Source: RNAcentral
AGCGUACACGGUGGAUGCCCUGGCAGUCAGAGGCGAUGAAGGACGUGCUAAUCUGCGAAAAGCGUCGGUAAGGUGAUAUGAACCGUUAUAACCGGCGAUGUCCGAAUGGGGAAACCCAGUGCAAUUCGUUGCACUAUCGUUAACUGAAUACAUAGGUUAACGAGGCGAACCGGGGGAACUGAAACAUCUAAGUACCCCGAGGAAAAGAAAUCAACCGAGAUUCCCCCAGUAGCGGCGAGCGAACGGGGAGCAGCCCAGAGUCUGAAUCAGCUUGUGUGUUAGUGGAACGGUCUGGAAAGUCCGACGGUACAGGGUGAUAGUCCCGUACACCAAAAUGCACAGGCUGUGAACUCGAAGAGUAGGGCGGGACACGUGGUAUCCUGUCUGAAUAUGGGGGGACCAUCCUCCAAGGCUAAAUACUCCUGACUGACCGAUAGUGAACCAGUACCGUGAGGGAAAGGCGAAAAGAACCCCGGCGAGGGGAGUGAAAAAGAACCUGAAACCGUGUACGUACAAGCAGUGGGAGCACCUUCGGGUGUGACUGCGUACCUUUUGUAUAAUGGGUCAGCGACUUAUAUUCUGUAGCAAGGUUAACCGUAUAGGGGAGCCGCAGGGAAACCGAGUCUUAACUGGGCGUUAAGUUGCAGGGUAUAGACCCGAAACCCGGUGAUCUAGCCAUGGGCAGGUUGAAGGUUGGGUAACACUAACUGGAGGACCGAACCGACUAAUGUUGAAAAAUUAGCGGAUGACUUGUGGCUGGGGGUGAAAGGCCAAUCAAACCGGGAGAUAGCUGGUUCUCCCCGAAAGCUAUUUAGGUAGCGCCUCGUGAAUUCAUCUUCGGGGGUAGAGCACUGUUUCGGCUAGGGGGUCAUCCCGACUUACCAACCCGAUGCAAACUACGAAUACCGAAGAAUGUUAUCACGGGAGACACACGGCGGGUGCUAACGUCCGUCGUGAAGAGGGAAACAACCCAGACCGCCAGCUAAGGUCCCAAAGUCAUGGUUAAGUGGGAAACGAUGUGGGAAGGCACAGACAGCCAGGAUGUUGGCUUAGAAGCAGCCAUCAUUUAAAGAAAGCGUAAUAGCUCACUGGUCGAGUCGGCCUGCGCGGAAGAUGUAACGGGGCUAAACCAUGCACCGAAGCUGCGGCAGCGACACUAUGUGUUGUUGGGUAGGGGAGCGUUCUGUAAGCCUGCGAAGGUGUGCUGUGAGGCAUGCUGGAGGUAUCAGAAGUGCGAAUGCUGACAUAAGUAACGAUAAAGCGGGUGAAAAGCCCGCUCGCCGGAAGACCAAGGGUUCCUGUCCAACGUUAAUCGGGGCAGGGUGAGUCGACCCCUAAGGCGAGGCCGAAAGGCGUAGUCGAUGGGAAACAGGUUAAUAUUCCUGUACUUGGUGUUACUGCGAAGGGGGGACGGAGAAGGCUAUGUUAGCCGGGCGACGGUUGUCCCGGUUUAAGCAUGUAGGCUGGUUGUCCAGGCAAAUCCGGAUAAUCAAGGCUGAGGUGUGAUGACGAGGCACUACGGUGCUGAAGUAACAAAUGCCCUGCUUCCAGGAAAAGCCUCUAAGCAUCAGGUAACAUUAAAUCGUACCCCAAACCGACACAGGUGGUCAGGUAGAGAAUACCAAGGCGCUUGAGAGAACUCGGGUGAAGGAACUAGGCAAAAUGGUGCCGUAACUUCGGGAGAAGGCACGCUGGUGUGUAGGUGAAGUCCCUGCGGAUGGAGCUGAGACCAGUCGAAGAUACCAGCUGGCUGCAACUGUUUAUUAAAAACACAGCACUGUGCAAACACGAAAGUGGACGUAUACGGUGUGACGCCUGCCCGGUGCCGGAAGGUUAAUUGAUGGGGUUAUCCGUAAGGAGAAGCUCUUGAUCGAAGCCCCGGUAAACGGCGGCCGUAACUAUAACGGUCCUAAGGUAGCGAAAUUCCUUGUCGGGUAAGUUCCGACCUGCACGAAUGGCGUAAUGAUGGCCAGGCUGUCUCCACCCGAGACUCAGUGAAAUUGAACUCGCUGUGAAGAUGCAGUGUACCCGCGGCAAGACGGAAAGACCCCGUGAACCUUUACUAUAGCUUGACACUGAACAUUGAGCCUUGAUGUGUAGGAUAGGUGGGAGGCUUUGAAGCGUGGACGCCAGUCUGCGUGGAGCCAACCUUGAAAUACCACCCUUUAAUGUUUGAUGUUCUAACGUUGGCCCCUUACCGGGGUUGCGGACAGUGUCUGGUGGGUAGUUUGACUGGGGCGGUCUCCUCCCAAAGCGUAACGGAGGAGCACGAAGGUUAGCUAAUCCUGGUCGGACAUCAGGAGGUUAGUGCAAUGGCAUAAGCUAGCUUGACUGCGAGCGUGACGGCGCGAGCAGGUGCGAAAGCAGGUCAUAGUGAUCCGGUGGUUCUGAAUGGAAGGGCCAUCGCUCAACGGAUAAAAGGUACUCCGGGGAUAACAGGCUGAUACCGCCCAAGAGUUCAUAUCGACGGCGGUGUUUGGCACCUCGAUGUCGGCUCAUCACAUCCUGGGGCUGAAGUAGGUCCCAAGGGUAUGGCUGUUCGCCAUUUAAAGUGGUACGCGAGCUGGGUUUAGAACGUCGUGAGACAGUUCGGUCCCUAUCUGCCGUGGGCGCUGGAGAAUUGAGGGGGGCUGCUCCUAGUACGAGAGGACCGGAGUGGACGCAUCACUGGUGUUCGGGUUGUCAUGCCAAUGGCACUGCCCGGUAGCUAAAUGCGGAAGAGAUAAGUGCUGAAAGCAUCUAAGCACGAAACUUGCCCCGAGAUGAGUUCU